Molecule: ribosomal RNA, 464 nt
Filed under: uncultured bacterium
Lineage: Bacteria
Description: partial 16S ribosomal RNA
Rfam family: Bacterial small subunit ribosomal RNA
Source: RNAcentral
GACGAACGCUGGCGGCGUGCUUAACACAUGCAAGUCGAACGGAAAGGCCCCUUUGGGGGUACUCGAGUGGCGAACGGGUGAGUAACACGUGAGUAACCUGCCCUUGACUUCGGGAUAACUUCAGGAAACUGGGGCUAAUACCGGAUAGGAAUCCUUGCUGCAUGGUGGGGGUUGGAAAGCUUCGGCGGUUUUGGAUGGACUCGCGGCUUAUCAGCUUGUUGGUGGGGUAGUGGCUUACCAAGGCUUUGACGGGUAGCCGGCCUGAGAGGGCGACCGGCCACAUGGGGACUGGGAUACGGCCCAGACUCCUACGGGAGGCAGCAGUGGGGAAUAUUGCACAAGGGGGGGAAGCCUGAUGCAGCAACGCCGCGUGCGGGAUGACGGCCUUCGGGUUGUAAACCGCUUUCAGCAGGGGGGAAGCUUGUGGUGGCGGUACCUGCAGAAGAAGCACCGGCUAACUACGG